RNAcentral lists this long non-coding RNA (1527 nucleotides) under Homo sapiens (human). RNAcentral's name for it is "long independently transcribed non-coding RNA 1819, transcript variant 6 (LINC01819)". The record is from RNAcentral. Lineage: Eukaryota; Metazoa; Chordata; Mammalia; Primates; Hominidae.
AGAGAGGCUGUGAGGGUGGCUUUGUGAGGAUGGCUUUGUGUGGCUGCACAUUGCCCUUGGCCAAGCCCCGCUGCCAGGAGAGGCAGCUCGGCUGCCAAACCUCCUGAACCCAAGUUACCUGAGCAAGCAGCCCUAUCCCCUCGCCUGCUUCUCACUGCCUCGCCUGCCUUGGGCCUGCCCGACCCAGGGGGUCACAUGCCUUGUUCCCCAUCAGUGGAGACCAGGGACAAGAAGACAGUUCUGUGGGAAGAGCCAGGAGGACCAUUUGGGAAAAUACAGGUUCCAGGUGUGUCUCCAGACCUUGAGAGUUGGUGUCUCCUGGGAAGAGGCCCUGAUGAGAUCUGGGGAGAUUCGGAUCUGAUGAGAUUCAGGAAGCCCUGGCCUCUCCGUACUUGAGGAGACGGGACACACAGGACAAGCUGCAGGCUGGUGAGCAGGUUCACCUUCUAUUUUGAAGACCCGCUUCUUCCUCAGGUACCUGAUCUUGAAAACGACCUCCCCUUUCAGUUUCUCGGCUUGUGGCUCCUUCCUCCAUCUUCAAAGAGCACCACUCCAAUCUGCUCCUCCAUCAGGUCACCUUCUGCCUGACUCCUACAUCCCUUUCAGAAGGACCCUUGUGAUUCCAUGAGGUCCACCCAGAUCACGCAGGAUAAUGUCCCCGUCUCAAGAGGCUUAAUCUAAUCACAGUGAAAACCAUUUCCUCCUCGUCGUGGCGCAGGUCCAGAGGCUGCGCCCAUCUCUCCCACGUCAACAGUCCUGUGUCCUUGGCGAAGGACUGUUCUCUCAUUCAGUGCCUUUCCUCUCUUCCUGGGCCAAAUCCCUGCUUUGCGUCUCCCUGCAGCUCAUAAAAAGCUGAAUUACCUGAGGCAGGGAAAGCCCCACCCACUGUCAUUCUCAGGGAGGAGUGGAGUCUGCAGAGGCCGCAAUGCACAGCUUCCCUAUCCCCCUCCACCCGUGUUUUCCCAGAGCAGCUCUGUUCCAGGCCCGGGGGUGUCCCUGGGCCGAGAUGGAAUCCAGCCCUGACCACCUCCCAAAGCCAACAGCCCUGAGUGAGCGUGCAGAGAAGCAAGAGCUGUUCCUGAUGCAGAGCAAAGACAUCUCCCAGUCAAGGGGGAUGAACUGAUUUGGGACAAAAGGCAGUUGUUGGCUGAGGAAGGCAGGAUCUGGGGGAGCCCUGUGCUGAGUGGAGGUGGGUGGGUGUAUUUCCUUGGCUCACAGAGGCCUCUUGUCUGGUGGGAUCAGCUCCUCCAGCCAGUUGCCACCUGGUCCAGCUUUGGGAGAUGUGGAGAAUGACUUUCGCAGUGAUUUCCACUGGGCCAUGGCAUUGAAACAGCUGCAGGAGGGGACACAGCUGGUGCCACCCCUACUCCGUCCAUUAGAGCUGCUGUGAAGGAAUGCCACCCUCCCCAUGGGGAGUGAGGGGGCCCUACUUGCUGUGGUUGGUUCCAGGGACCAUGGGAAGAGGCAAACCCCUAUUUUCAAGGGCACAAGUUGGCUUUUAUUAAAAUAAAAUUUCAUCAUCACUUA